Molecule: ribosomal RNA, 325 nt
Filed under: uncultured Allapsidae
Lineage: Eukaryota; Cercozoa; Glissomonadida; Viridiraptoridae
Description: SSU rRNA
Rfam family: Eukaryotic small subunit ribosomal RNA
Source: RNAcentral
GAUUUCUGGUUUAAUGUACCUGUCCCGCUGCGGUAACGCAUGUGAGUGACGGAGUAUGUUUGCCUUCCUUCUAGAGAACAUUAGCUAUCCUUUACUGGACCGGUUAAUGUCAUCUAGAUCUUUUACUUUGAAAAAAUUAGAGUGUUUCAAGCAGGCGUUUUGCUAUGAAUACAUUAGCAUGGAAUAAUGAGUUAGGACUUCGGUUCUAUUUUGUUGGUUUCUAGGACUGAAGUAAUGAUUGAUAGGGACAGUUGGGGGUGCUAGUAUUCCGCGGCCAGAGGUGAAAUUCUUGGAUUCGCGGAAGACUAACUACUGCGAAAGCAUU